AGCUCAGUUGGUUAGAGCACCACCUUGACAUGGUGGGGGUCGGUGGUUCGAAUCCACUC
RNAcentral lists this transfer RNA (59 nucleotides) under Gammaproteobacteria bacterium. RNAcentral describes it as "tRNA-Val". It matches the Rfam family "tRNA", at positions 9 to 64 of the family's 71-position model. From Rfam's summary of the family: Transfer RNA (tRNA) molecules are approximately 80 nucleotides in length. Their secondary structure includes four short double-helical elements and three loops (D, anti-codon, and T loops). RNAcentral also lists the same sequence under 1 other name. Lineage: Bacteria; Pseudomonadati; Pseudomonadota; Gammaproteobacteria. The record is from RNAcentral.